Rhagoletis zephyria (snowberry fruit fly) is the source of this 114-nucleotide long non-coding RNA. RefSeq lists it as uncharacterized. NCBI's taxonomy places the organism in Eukaryota, Metazoa, Arthropoda, Insecta, Diptera, Tephritidae. The record is from RefSeq and is a predicted model, not a curated record.
AGGAGUUGUGGGGUGGCAGCUUCUUCAUGGGGUCGAUCCCCAUAUUCUCCAUCCAUCUACGGGCUUCUCUCGGAUCCUCGUAAAAAAUUCACUAAAUCACCUGUUCUCACUUUU